GACGAACGCUGGCGGCGUGCUUAACACAUGCAAGUCAGGGGGCCCGCAAGGGUCACCGGCGAACGGGUGCGUAACACGUGAACAACCUGCCCGAGCGAGGGGGAUAGCCGGCCCAACGGCCGGGUAAUACCGCAUAUGCUCACAGUGCCUUAUGGCGCAGUGAGGAAACCUUCGGGGCGCUCGGAGGGGUUCGCGACCUAUCAGCUAGUUGGUGUGGGUAAUGGCCCACCAAGGCGACGACGGGUAGCUGGUCUGAGAGGAUGGCCAGCCACAUUGGGACUGCGACACGGCCCAGACUCCUACGGGAGGCAGCAGUGGGGAAUAUUGCGCAAUGGUCGAAAGACUGACGCAGCGACACCGCGUGGAGGAUGACGCCCUUCGGGGUGUAAACUCCUGUUGCUCGGGACGAACCGUGGAAUUCAUUCCACCUGACGGUACCGAGUGAGGAAGCACUGGCUAACUCUGUGCCAGCAGCCGCGGUAAUACAGAGGGUGCGAGCGUUGUCCGGAAUCACUGGGCGUAAAGGGCGCGUAGGCGGCUUGGCAAGCGUGCGGUGAAAGCUCGGGGCUCAACCCCGAGUCGGCCGUGCGAACUGCCGGGCUUGAGCACAGUAGAGGCAGAUGGAAUUCCGGGUGUAGCGGUGGAAUGCGUAGAGAUCCGGAAGAACACCGGUGGCGAAGGCGGUCUGCUGGGCUGUGUCUGACGCUGAGGCGCGACAGCGUGGGGAGCAAACAGGAUUAGAUACCCUGGUAGUCCACGCCGUAAACGAUGGGCACUAGAUGCUUGGGGGAGCGACCCCCUGAGUGUCGUCGCUAACGCAUUAAGUGCCCCGCCUGGGGAGUACGGCCGCAAGGCUG
Molecule: ribosomal RNA, 857 nt
Filed under: uncultured Gemmatimonadota bacterium
Lineage: Bacteria; Pseudomonadati; Gemmatimonadota
Description: bacterial SSU rRNA
Rfam family: Bacterial small subunit ribosomal RNA
Source: RNAcentral